UCUGGGAAUUCUGGGAAUUUGGGCGUUGUGGAACAGGUGUAAAUCCUGGAAUUCUGGAACAGGAAAAAUCUGGGAAUUUGGGCAUUCUGGAACAGGUACAAAUCCUGGAAUUCUGGGACAGGAAAAAUCUGGGAAUUCUGGGAAUUUGGGCGUUGUGGAACAGGUGUAAAUCCUGGAAUUCUGGAACUGGUAAAAUAUCUGGGAAUUCUGGGAAUUUGGGCAUUCUGGAACAAGUGCAAAUCCUGGAAUUCCGGGAUAGGAAAAUCUGGGAAUUCUGGGAAUUUGGGCAUUCUGGAACAGGUGCAAAUAGUGGAAUUCUGGAACUGGUAAAAUAUCUGGGAAUUCUGGGAAUUUGGGCGCUCUGGAACAGGUGCAAAUCCUGGAAUUCUGGGACAGGAAAAAUCUGGGAAUUCUGGGAAUUUGGGCAUUCUGGAACAGGUACAAAUCCUGGAAUUCUGGAACAGGAAAAAUCUGGGAAUUCUGGGAAUUCGGGCGCUCUGGAACAGGUACAAAUCCGGGAAUUCUGGAACAGGAAAAAUCUGGGAAUUCUGGGAAUUUGGGCAUUCUGGAACAGGUGCAAAUCGUGGAAUUCCGGGAAUUCUGGAACUGGUAAAAUAUCUGGGAAUUUGGGCGCUCUGGAACAGGUACAAAUCCUGGAAUUCUGGGACAGGUAAAAUCUGGGAAUUCUGGGAAUUCGGGCGCUCUGGAACAGGUACAAAUCCAGGAAUUCCGGGACAGGAAAAAUCUGGGAAUUCCAGCAGGAUCCCGCAGGAAUCCCAUCCCAGAAAUCCGGGAAUUCCGGCCAUUCCAGCAGGAUCCCACAGGAAUCCCAUCCCUCAAAUCCAGGAUUUCCAGCGGGAUCCGUCCAUUCCCGUGGCAAUCCCACCCCAGAAUCCGGGAAUUCCGUCCGUUCCCGCGGGAAUGCUCGGAAGGGCGGCAGGGAAUUGCUCGGACAGGCGAGAGGGAAUUGGGAAUUCCGGCGUUUUCCGGGAGCCGCAGCCGCAGCUGCGAUUCCGGAGGCUGCUCCCGGAAUUUUCCAUGGAAUUCUCGCCCNCCAGGACAGGUAAAUCUGGGAAUUCUGAGACAGGUAAAACCGGGAAUGCCGGGAAUUCCGGAACAGGUAAAACCGGGAAUGCCGGAACAGGUAAAAUCCGGGAAUGCCGGGAAUUCCAGGAAUUCUGGGGCAGGUAAAUCUGGGAAUGAUGGCAAUGCCAGGACAGGUAAAUCUGGGAAUGCCGGGAAAUCCAGGAAUUCUGGAACAGGUAAAUCUGGGAAAUCUGGGAUGGUUAAAAUCCAGG
This 1298-nucleotide long non-coding RNA is filed under the name Zonotrichia albicollis (white-throated sparrow). Its description in RNAcentral is "lncRNA (ENSZALG00000009261.1)". The record is from RNAcentral. Lineage: Eukaryota; Metazoa; Chordata; Aves; Passeriformes; Passerellidae.